Molecule: unclassified non-coding RNA, 512 nt
Filed under: Hevea brasiliensis (rubber tree)
Lineage: Eukaryota; Viridiplantae; Streptophyta; Magnoliopsida; Malpighiales; Euphorbiaceae
Source: RNAcentral
AAUAAUAGUAAGGCCCUUAAAGAGAAGAACAAAAUUUAUACUUGCAAAGCAGUAGUUCCACUAAACUUCAAUUUGCACAAUGAAAAUUUGAAUUUAUAAGAUUCCCAUAAGCUAAAUGAAAGGGAAAAAAGCUAACAAACUCUUCAAUCAAGCUGCUAACUCAUUCCACUGAAAAUUCAUUGAACUGCUUGUAAGACCAUACUUUUCAAGGAAGGUUUGAGCUUGCUGCAGCUCCUCCGCCAUAGCUACCAGCUCCACGGCCAAAACCUGGCCUUCCACCAGGACCCCCAAAUGAAGGCCUGUAAUCUGCAGGAGCUCCUCCCUUGUCACCACCAAAUUCACCACCGGGUCCACGAGGACCUCCACGGUAGCCAUCACGGUCACCAAACCUUCUCUCACCACCCUCAAAACGAGGUGGACCCCGUGGGCGAUCGCCGGGUGGUCCGCCAAAGGGUCUACCAGCGGGCUUAGCUUGUUUCUUCAAGGUAGCAGGGACAAUUUCAGAAGGAAGA